UGAUCACGCCAAAUAUUCAAUACCUAGUUCUAAGUUUUUCAACAAGACAUUUUUAUGUAAUAAUCCCAUGCAAUAUCUGGUCAAAUUUCCUCUUAAGUCCAUCUUACAGGCCAUGAAGAAUUUUCACUGGAAUUUUAAAUUAUUCAGCCACCUUCAGAUCUAUCUCCUUCCUCACCAAGAGUCAUUUACCAUUGGGAGAUCCUGACGCUGACCUUGACCUUGCUCUGGGUGAUUUAACAGGUGAUGCUGAUCUAGACU
RNAcentral lists this unclassified non-coding RNA (258 nucleotides) under Hevea brasiliensis (rubber tree). Lineage: Eukaryota; Viridiplantae; Streptophyta; Magnoliopsida; Malpighiales; Euphorbiaceae. The record is from RNAcentral.